GGGAGUAUAGCUCAGCUGGUUAGAGUGCCUGCAUCACACGCAGGAAGUCGCGGGUUCGAGUCCCUCUAUUCCCACCA
RNAcentral lists this transfer RNA (77 nucleotides) under Anaerotruncus sp. G3(2012). RNAcentral's name for it is "tRNA-Val". It matches the Rfam family "tRNA". From Rfam's summary of the family: Transfer RNA (tRNA) molecules are approximately 80 nucleotides in length. RNAcentral also lists the same sequence under 7 other names. The record is from RNAcentral. Lineage: Bacteria; Bacillati; Bacillota; Clostridia; Eubacteriales; Oscillospiraceae.